AUUGAACGCUGGCGGCAUGCCUUACACAUGCAAGUCGAACGGCAGCAUGAUCUAGCUUGCUAGAUUGAUGGCGAGUGGCGAACGGGUGAGUAAUACAUCGGAACGUGCCCUGUAGUGGGGGAUAACUAGUCGAAAGAUUAGCUAAUACCGCAUACGACCUGAGGGUGAAAGUGGGGGACCGCAAGGCCUCAUGCUAUAGGAGCGGCCGAUGUCUGAUUAGCUAGUUGGUGAGGUAAAGGCUCACCAAGGCGACGAUCAGUAGCUGGUCUGAGAGGACGAUCAGCCACACUGGGACUGAGACACGGCCCAGACUCCUACGGGAGGCAGCAGUGGGGAAUUUUGGACAAUGGGCGAAAGCCUGAUCCAGCAAUGCCGCGUGUGUGAAGAAGGCCUCCGGGUUGUAAAGCACUUUUGUCCGGAAAGAAAUGGCUCUGGUUAAUACCUGGGGUCGAUGACGGUACCGGAAGAAUAAGGACCGGCUAACUACGUG
RNAcentral lists this ribosomal RNA (490 nucleotides) under uncultured bacterium. Its description in RNAcentral is "partial 16S ribosomal RNA". It matches the Rfam family "Bacterial small subunit ribosomal RNA", at positions 30 to 507 of the family's 1533-position model. The record is from RNAcentral.